AUGGCCUGCACCCACCUCGCCGCCGCCUCGUCACCGGCGACCACCGCCGCCGCGCUGCGUGCACGGGCGACGGCCCCCGCCGCCGGUUUCGCGCGCCUUCCUGCCACCCUCCAUCCUGAGAACGGUGGGCUGGCCCUCAGGGGUAGGAGGGCGGUCACGCCCGUGGUCCUCGCCGCCGGGCCGGCCGCCGCGGCGCCGGUGGCCGACCGUGACGGAACACCGGCCGCGGUGAAGCAGCCCAUCAUCGUCAUCGACAACUAUGAUAGCUUUACCUACAACCUGUGCCAGUAUAUGGGGGAGCUUGGAUUAAAUUUUGAGGUGUACCGUAAUGAUGAACUUACCAUAGAGGAGGUAAAGAGGAUGAAACCACGAGGAAUACUUAUUUCACCAGGGCCUGGUGAACCGCAAGAUUCAGGUAUAUCAUUGCAGACUGUUCUGGAACUUGGGCCAACCAUCCCAAUAUUCGGAGUUUGCAUGGGUCUGCAGUGCAUUGGAGAGGCAUUUGGAGGGAAGAUUAUCCGCGUUCCUUCUGGUGUGAUGCAUGGAAAAAGCUCUCCAGUUUACUAUGACGAAGUUCUAGGAAAGUCCAUAUUCGAGGGCUUGUCAAACCCUUUUACCGCCGCAAGAUAUCAUAGCUUGGUCAUCGAGGAGGAAACCUUCCCGCACGAUGAACUGGAAGUCACGGCAUGGACUGAAGAUGGACUUGUCAUGGCUGCUCGCCACAAGAAGUACACGCAUAUCCAGGGUGUUCAGUUCCACCCAGAGAGCAUCAUCACCCCUGAAGGCAAGAAAAUCAUCCUCAACUUUGCGAGAUAUGUCGAGGAGUUUGAGAAGCAGACCUCCGAGGGGAAGUAG
RNAcentral lists this ribosomal RNA (855 nucleotides) under Triticum aestivum (bread wheat). Its description in RNAcentral is "partial small subunit ribosomal RNA". The record is from RNAcentral. Lineage: Eukaryota; Viridiplantae; Streptophyta; Magnoliopsida; Poales; Poaceae.